UUUUUUUUUUCUUCAGAAAUAGUUACAGAACAUUUGGCAUGAAUAUGGGCAGCAGAAGUCAUUCCUAAAGGAAAUGUGGGGAGGGAAAAAAAAAAGAGGUACUCCUCUGUGUAGAGAAGUCAUACCGAAAUAAAUGUCUGUUCCUUCUGAAGCAAGAUGGUUCUUGACUAAGAACUAUGAUACACUUUCACAGUUUGUCUUAUGAGGAGAAUGUAUAGGUGUGGGUCCUGUGGUUAAUAAUGUUAUUGUUCACAGGGAAGAAGCGUGAGAAACCCACUUGUGAGAUUGUGUGUUUGAACAGGAAAGCUUUCUGAUGACCGGAGUGAAAAGAUGAGGCUGUGUGGGUUGGCCAUUGAGCUGUAAAGUACAUAUGCUACCACACUGCACCUUUUAAAACAUUCUGGUUUUUAAAGAACGGAAGGCAUUGCUAGUUGAGAGCAGUGCUAGAUUUAUGGAGCCCGUAAAGGCGUGUGAGCUUUUGGUUUAAAAUUUUAAUGCAAAGUGUGUUUUGCCUGUUGACAGAUCCAUGCAAGGCAGAUGCAAGGUUCCUCCUCCUGCCAGCAUGCCUUCUCCUGCCCGGCACAUCUGUGUACAUGAAAGUAAACAUCUACGUGUUCGCACGCAUGUUGUACUAUUAGAGUGCAUCAAAUCAUGGGUGGGUUUUGUUCGUUGCAGUGGUUGAAGAGGAAAAAAACCAAUCCAACAACCCUGGAACAAAAACCAGAUUAACUUCCAGUCAAACUGAAAUAAAUAGGUCAGGGUGGUUCUGGUGAAGUGAAGGGGAAAAAAAACCCCAACAACAAAACACCAGCUAAAAAACCCCGAACCUGCUUUAAGAUAAUCUGGAAGAUUAAAUUUGACCUGAGACUAUUUUUUUUCUUUUUAAGUUGGGUAUGAAGGAAAAUGAAAUGCUGUUUGAAAUGAAAAUUUGCAGGUUUAUUUUGAAAAUACCAGAACACCACUUGAUUUUCUUAUGCCUCCCUCCCACUCAGCUUUUUGGCCAAGGCGUGUUUGCUGAGUUUCGCUCAAAUUAGCGAACUGAGUUCAGUUCACUUCUUCCUCCACUGAAAAACUUAAGAUUUUGGGGGUGGGGUAAUCUGUCAUUUAUAUGCACAUAAAUCGCUCUGCUCUGAUCGGGGUGAAUGUUAAGCAGAGAGUUAAAUGCAGUCCAAAAUGUUUGUGAUGACUUUUUUCCAUUUUCAUCAAAUGAAAUAAAUAAAUAAAAAUAAUGAAGUAAUAAUAAUAAAAAUACCCAAUUUUUUUGAAAUAAAUAAAUAAAUUUUAAAUAAACUCUAGUAUCUAUUGCCUCCCUGGCCUACGUAUGUUUGGUGCCUUCACCAUAUCUUGCUAACCUCUGGCUCAAGGAGGAGCUGGAGGCUUGCAGCCUGCUUGCUGGAGGUGCACAAGCAGGCUGGCUGGGGCUUUGGGCAGGUGGGGUGAAAGCUACCGAGCAGUAGCAGUGCCCCAAGGGCUGGUGGUGCUUUCGUGUGGGUUAGUAUCCUUCUGCUCUGUCGAGCGAUUACUGCUCUGUGGCUCCUUUACCUUGCAAAGGUGACACAUGUAGGGUGGGCAGCCUGGCUGGUGUACCCUCCAGCUCCCUGGAAAAGUGGUGGGUUUGCCAAUCCCCUCCAUCCCAAAAUGAAUAAUAAUGAUUCAUAAACUAAAUAUGCAGGACCAGCAGAGGUGGUUUUGCCAGAACCAUUCUGCAGAGUAGAAGGCUCCUCCUGGGGUGCAGGGGCCAUUGGGGCUGGAUGAGUCAGGCGGGAUUUUGCUGGGGAAAAAGAUGUGGAAGGAAGGAGGAAAGGAUAUAAACCAGCUGUCUUGAUGACAGGAUAGUAGUAUUUUAGCUCUGGCUUUCAUGAGAAGAAAAUUAUCAGUUUGUGGGAACAAGGUUUGUGUGUGUUUGGUAAUCAAAGCACAGCGGUAUAAUCCCUGCCUUCCCGUCGCCAGAUUCAGCA
Long non-coding RNA from Strigops habroptila (Kakapo), 1958 nucleotides. NCBI's taxonomy places the organism in Eukaryota, Metazoa, Chordata, Aves, Psittaciformes, Psittacidae. The record is from Ensembl.